Peromyscus leucopus (white-footed mouse) is the source of this 446-nucleotide non-coding RNA. Lineage: Eukaryota; Metazoa; Chordata; Mammalia; Rodentia; Cricetidae. The record is from the annotation of a RefSeq genome assembly.
UCCUAGGAAGUGUAGGUCACUGUGUGAUUUGAACAAGAACAAUGGAGAAGUACUUUGAAGCCUUGCCCAUGCUCCUCUGUGUUCAUCUGAACUUGGUAAGCGGUCAAGCAAACACGGUGAUGCAGAGUCCUUCCAUCCUGGAUGUCUGGGAAAAAGAAACAGCUGCUAUCAACUGCACUUACACAAAUUCGGCAUCUAAUUAUUUCCCCUGGUAUAAGAAGGACAGAAGGGAAGGCCUUACUCUCCUCGCAGACAUUCGCUCAAAUGUGGACAGAAGGAAGGAGGGGAGAUUCACAGUGAUACUGGAUAAAAAUGCUAGACACGUCUCCUUGCAUAUAACAGCUGCACAAGCAGAAGAUUCAGCCCUGUACCUCUGUGCAGCAAGCACACAGUGCUGUGCAGGCACCUGCAGCCUGAAUGCAAACGUUCAGCUGGGACUGCAGUAG